GACGAACGUUGGCGGCGUGCUUAAUACAUGCAAGUCGAGUGAAGCAGUGGUAGCAAGCUCGCUGUGGAGGUGGCGCGCGGGGGAGUAACACGUGUGAAAUCUACCUUAAGUUCUGGCAUAACUCCGAGAAACCGGGGCUAAUAACAGAUGAUGCAGAGGAUCGACCUCGAGACAGUUGGUAAAGCUAUAGCGACUGAUGAUGAGCCGGCGGCUGAUUAGCUAGUUGGCGGGGUAACGGACCACCAAGGCAACGAGCAGUAGCUGGUAAGAGAGGCUGACCCGCAACACUACAACUGCGACCCGGACAAGACUACUACGGGAGGCAGUAGUAAGGAAUAUUGAUCAAUGGGAGAAAUGAUGAAGCAGCAACGCGGCGUGAGGGACGACGCGCUUUUGUUUGUAAACCUCUGUAGUGAGAGAAAAAAAUCCCAAUCUUUGGGACAUGAUGGUAUCUUAAAAGUAAGCCCCGGCUAACUACGUG
This 481-nucleotide ribosomal RNA is filed under the name uncultured bacterium. RNAcentral's name for it is "partial 16S ribosomal RNA". It matches the Rfam family "Bacterial small subunit ribosomal RNA", at positions 28 to 507 of the family's 1533-position model. The record is from RNAcentral.